RNAcentral lists this ribosomal RNA (460 nucleotides) under uncultured bacterium. Its description in RNAcentral is "partial 16S ribosomal RNA". It matches the Rfam family "Bacterial small subunit ribosomal RNA", at positions 338 to 795 of the family's 1533-position model. The record is from RNAcentral.
CCUACGGGAGACAGCAGUGAGGAAUAUUGGUCAAUGGCCGUAAGGCUGAACCAGCCAAGUCGCGUGAAGGAAGAAGGAUCUAUGGUUUGUAAACUUCUUUUAUAGGGGAAUAAAGGUAUCCACGUGGGGAUAUUUGCAUGUACCCUAUGAAUAAGCAUCGGCUAACUCCGUGCCAGCAGCCGCGGUAAUACGGAGGAUGCGAGCGUUAUCCGGAUUUAGUGGGUUUAAAGGGUGCGUAGGUUGUUUUUUAAGUCAGCGGUGAAAGUUUGUGGCUCAACCAUAAAAUUGCCGUUGAAAAUGGAAGACUUGAGUGUGUUUGAGGUAGGCGGAAUGCGUGGUGUAGCCGUGAAAUGCAUAGAUAUCACGCAGAACUCCGAUUGCGAAGGCAGCUUACUAAGCCAUAACUGACACUGAAGCACGAAAGCGUGGGGAUCAAACAGGAUUAGAUACCCCGGUAGUC